AGGGUAUAGCUCAGUGGUAGAGCACAUGCUUAGCAUGCACGAGGUCCUGGGUUCAAUCCCCAGUCCCUA
This 69-nucleotide transfer RNA is filed under the name Camelus bactrianus (Bactrian camel). It matches the Rfam family "tRNA". From Rfam's summary of the family: Transfer RNA (tRNA) molecules are approximately 80 nucleotides in length. Their secondary structure includes four short double-helical elements and three loops (D, anti-codon, and T loops). Lineage: Eukaryota; Metazoa; Chordata; Mammalia; Artiodactyla; Camelidae. The record is from Rfam by way of RNAcentral. RNAcentral also lists the same sequence under 2 other names.